This 85-nucleotide transfer RNA is filed under the name Puniceicoccales bacterium. Its description in RNAcentral is "tRNA-Leu". It matches the Rfam family "tRNA". Rfam says of the family: Transfer RNA (tRNA) molecules are approximately 80 nucleotides in length. Their secondary structure includes four short double-helical elements and three loops (D, anti-codon, and T loops). Lineage: Bacteria; Pseudomonadati; Verrucomicrobiota; Opitutia; Puniceicoccales. The record is from RNAcentral.
GCUCAGGUGGUGAAAUUGGCAGACACGCAUGAUUCAGGUUCAUGUGCCGAAAGGUAUGGGGGUUCAAGUCCCCCCCUGAGCACCA